AGAAAAGGAGUCACAACUCGAAUCAAAACGGAAUCUUCAAAGAAAUUGGAUGUAAUUUCCAUUUUAACAUUCACAUUAAGUUCCACGAUUUUAGAAUUCAAAAACGGUGUACGAGGACAAUGAAUCGCAAAACCAAAUCGCUAGCAAUCAACGAACGAGGUGAACCAAAUCAGGAGCAAACCACAAGACCCGCUAAACCUGUCUCUACCAUGCCAAUUUAUUUCAAAUCAAAUUGCAAAUUCUUCUUCCUUUUUCCUUGCGCGGCGCUGCCUGCUGCUGUUGCUGCUGCUGCGAUGCACCAAUUUUCCGGUGGUCUGUGUGUGGAACAUGGACAUUGAGUCGUAACACAUGGGGCGCUAUCCCAUCUAUAAUAGCCCCAAUAUAUAUACAUAUCUCUACCUAACCUAAACUUCGAUUGGUCUUCUUUCUUCUUCUGGUGGAGAUCACUGAUGAUCUUGUCGUCGAUAACAUGGGAAUCAAACAUGCACUCAAAUCUGCGUCCCGCCAUGUUCUUCCGCCAACCAACCGACCGGCUGCUGUUGUUUGACUGUUUUUGCGUUUCGCAUAGAGCCAAUCUAGAAAACAUCAUCUAACAAACAACUUUAACGUGAGGCACCCCAACCAGAUUACUCUUUUCGUUCACAAGCUAACACACAAAUGAGCAUUUGUUGUGUAUUGUGGAGGAAGAACACGCGAAUGUUCCUUGUGGAUGUAAUAACCUCUGUUUAUGGAGAUCAAUCAAAUUAUUCGCAAUCAAAUGGUACACCGGCAUUUUAGAUUUCCUUGGGCAAUUUUCUUAGAGAUCUGCAAUUGACUUAUCUAUAUUCAGAUAUCAAGUUUGGAACGUAUUUGUUAACUUACAUUCCACAGAGUCUAGCUAAUAUAAUAAAACAAAAAAAUAGGAAACCAUGGUAAUUGAAAUCAAA
This is a long non-coding RNA of Episyrphus balteatus (marmalade hoverfly), 926 nucleotides long. RefSeq lists it as uncharacterized. The transcript has 3 exons. The record is from RefSeq and is a predicted model, not a curated record. NCBI's taxonomy places the organism in Eukaryota, Metazoa, Arthropoda, Insecta, Diptera, Syrphidae.